AGCGAACGCUGGCGGCAGGCCUAACACAUGCAAGUCGAACGAACUCUUCGGAGUUAGUGGCGGAUGGGUGAGUAACACGUGGGAACGUGCCUUUUGGUUCGGAAUAACUCAGGGAAACUUGUGCUAAUACCGAAUGUGCCCUUCGGGGGAAAGAUUUAUCGCCAUUAGAGCGGCCCGCGUCUGAUUAGCUAGUUGGUGAGGUAACGGCUCACCAAGGCGACGAUCAGUAGCUGGUCUGAGAGGAUGACCAGCCACACUGGGACUGAGACACGGCCCAGACUCCUACGGGAGGCAGCAGUGGGGAAUCUUGCGCAAUGGGCGAAAGCCUGACGCAGCCAUGCCGCGUGAAUGAUGAAGGUCUUAGGAUUGUAAAAUUCUUUCACCGGGGACGAUAAUGACGGUACCCGGAGAAGAAGCCCCGGCUAACUUCGUG
This 433-nucleotide ribosomal RNA is filed under the name uncultured bacterium. RNAcentral's name for it is "partial 16S ribosomal RNA". It matches the Rfam family "Bacterial small subunit ribosomal RNA", at positions 29 to 507 of the family's 1533-position model. The record is from RNAcentral.